AAUGGGUCAGCGACUUAUAUUCUGUAGCAAGGUUAACCGAAUAGGGGAGCCGAAGGGAAACCGAGUCUUAACUGGGCGUUAAGUUGCAGGGUAUAGACCCGAAACCCGGUGAUCUAGCCAUGGGCAGGUUGAAGGUUGGGUAACACUAACUGGAGGACCGAACCGACUAAUGUUGAAAAAUUAGCGGAUGACUUGUGGCUGGGGGUGAAAGGCCAAUCAAACCGGGAGAUAGCUGGUUCUCCCCGAAAGCUAUUUAGGUAGCGCCUCGUGAACUCAUCUCCGGGGGUAGAGCACUGUUUCGGCAAGGGGGUCAUCCCGACUUACCAACCCGAUGCAAACUGCGAAUACCGGAGAAUGUUAUCACGGGAGACACACGGCGGGUGCUAACGUCCGUCGUGAAGAGGGAAACAACCCAGACCGCCAGCUAAGGUCCCAAAGUCAUGGUUAAGUGGGAAACGAUGUGGGAAGGCCCAGACAGCCAGGAUGUUGGCUUAGAAGCAGCCAUCAUUUAAAGAAAGCGUAAUAGCUCACUGGUCGAGUCGGCCUGCGCGGAAGAUGUAACGGGGCUAAACCAUGCACCGAAGCUGCGGCAGCGACGCUUAUGCGUUGUUGGGUAGGGGAGCGUUCUGUAAGCCUGCGAAGGUGUACUGUGAGGUAUGCUGGAGGUAUCAGAAGUGCGAAUGCUGACAUAAGUAACGAUAAAGCGGGUGAAAAGCCCGCUCGCCGGAAGACCAAGGGUUCCUGUCCAACGUUAAUCGGGGCAGGGUGAGUCGACCCCUAAGGCGAGGCCGAAAGGCGUAGUCGAUGGGAAACAGGUUAAUAUUCCUGUACUUGGUGUUACUGCGAAGGGGGGACGGAGAAGGCUAUGUUGGCCGGGCGACGGUUGUCCCGGUUUAAGCGUGUAGGCUGGUUUUCCAGGCAAAUCCGGAAAAUCAAGGCUGAGGCGUGAUGACGAGGCACUACGGUGCUGAAGCAACAAAUGCCCUGCUUCCAGGAAAAGCCUCUAAGCAUCAGGUAACAUCAAAUCGUACCCCAAACCGACACAGGUGGUCAGGUAGAGAAUACCAAGGCGCUUGAGAGAACUCGGGUGAAGGAACUAGGCAAAAUGGUGCCGUAACUUCGGGAGAAGGCACGCUGAUACGUAGGUGAAGUCCCUUGCGGAUGGAGCUGAAAUCAGUCGAAGAUACCAGCUGGCUGCAACUGUUUAUUAAAAACACAGCACUGUGCAAACACGAAAGUGGACGUAUACGGUGUGACGCCUGCCCGGUGCCGGAAGGUUAAUUGAUGGGGUUAGCGGUAACGCGAAGCUCUUGAUCGAAGCCCCGGUAAACGGCGGCCGUAACUAUAACGGUCCUAAGGUAGCGAAAUUCCUUGUCGGGUAAGUUCCGACCUGCACGAAUGGCGUAAUGAUGGCCAGGCUGUCUCCACCCGAGACUCAGUGAAAUUGAACUCGCUGUGAAGAUGCAGUGUACCCGCGGCAAGACGGAAAGACCCCGUGAACCUUUACUAUAGCUUGACACUGAACAUUGAGCCUUGAUGUGUAGGAUAGGUGGGAGGCUUUGAAGUGUGGACGCCAGUCUGCAUGGAGCCGACCUUGAAAUACCACCCUUUAAUGUUU
Molecule: ribosomal RNA, 1618 nt
Filed under: Escherichia coli
Lineage: Bacteria; Pseudomonadati; Pseudomonadota; Gammaproteobacteria; Enterobacterales; Enterobacteriaceae
Description: partial 23S ribosomal RNA
Rfam family: Bacterial large subunit ribosomal RNA
Source: RNAcentral